UCAGCUCUCUUUGCCUUUUGGCUUAGAUCAAGUGUAGUAUCUGUUCUUUUCAGUCUAAUCGCUGAAAGGCCUCUACGGAGGCUGAUCAAUGAUUGACCAAUUUUUAACCUUGGGCUCGAGAUCGCGGCGCCUGCGCUCGAUCGCUGUCCACUGUGUCCCUGGUACCACACUGCCUCCAGGAGAUGCGAAUUGAC
Molecule: small nuclear RNA, 194 nt
Filed under: Hirsutella minnesotensis 3608
Lineage: Eukaryota; Fungi; Ascomycota; Sordariomycetes; Hypocreales; Ophiocordycipitaceae
Description: U2 spliceosomal RNA
Rfam family: U2 spliceosomal RNA
About the family: U2 is a small nuclear RNA (snRNA) component of the spliceosome (involved in pre-mRNA splicing). Complementary binding between U2 snRNA (in an area lying towards the 5' end but 3' to hairpin I) and the branchpoint sequence (BPS) of the intron results the bulging out of an unpaired adenosine, on the BPS, which initiates a nucleophilic attack at the intronic 5' splice site, thus starting the first of two transesterification reactions that mediate splicing.
Source: Rfam by way of RNAcentral